GUAGGUGGCAAGCGUUGUCCGGAAUUAUUGGGCGUAAGGCGCGCGCAGGCGGUUCUUUAAGUCUGAUGUGAAAGCCCACGGCUCAACCGUGGAGGGUCAUUGGAAACUGGAGAACUUGAGUACAGAAGAGGAAAGCGGAAUUCCACGUGUAGCGGUGAAAUGCGUAGAGAUGUGGAGGAACACCAGUGGCGAAGGCGGCUUUCUGGUCUGUAACUGACGCUGAGGCGCGAAAGCGUGGGGGGCAAACAGGGAUUAGAUACCCUGGUAGUCCACGCCGUAAACGAUGAGUGCUAAGUGUUAGGGGGUUUUACCCGCCCCCGUUAGUGCUGCAGCUAACGCAUUAAGCACUCCGCCUGGGGAGUACGGCCGCAAGGCUG
This 377-nucleotide ribosomal RNA is filed under the name uncultured organism. RNAcentral describes it as "partial 16S ribosomal RNA". It matches the Rfam family "Bacterial small subunit ribosomal RNA", at positions 527 to 896 of the family's 1533-position model. The record is from RNAcentral.